UCCUCUGUUGAAUUAGAGUCCCCAGUGUGCU
RNAcentral lists this non-coding RNA (31 nucleotides) under Rattus norvegicus (Norway rat). Lineage: Eukaryota; Metazoa; Chordata; Mammalia; Rodentia; Muridae. The record is from RNAcentral.